Molecule: non-coding RNA, 626 nt
Organism: Phyllopteryx taeniolatus (common seadragon)
Lineage: Eukaryota; Metazoa; Chordata; Actinopteri; Syngnathiformes; Syngnathidae
Source: the annotation of a RefSeq genome assembly
CUCUUGGAGUCUUCCACAUCUGUAUCGAGUGGUAACAAUCCCAAAAGGACUCAUGCAGUGGCCUCGACUGACUGGACAUGCAUUUGUGGAAAGAAACCGUCAGCGACACCAGUGGAGCUUUGCUCGUUGACAGUCAACGAGGUUUUUGUACGGCCCCUUCACCGUUUUGCAUCACUGUGGUGGAGUUUCGGCGGAGGAACCAAACUCGUCCUCGGCUCGGGUGAGGUGCGUCGGCCCACCCUGACCGUCUUUCCUCCCUCCAAAGAGCAGCUGCAGACGGGCAAAGCCACAGCCGUGUGCGUGGCCAGCGGGGGCUUCCCCGCUUCCUGGAACCUGAGCUGGAAGGUGGGCGGCACCCCCGAAACCUCUGGGGUGUCGGACAGCCUCCCGGGAGAGGCGGGCGAGGACGGCCUCUACAGCUGGACCAGCACCUUGAGCCUCCCUGCAGACCAGUGGAGCAAGGCCCAAUCGGUGAGCUGCCAGGCCAGCCUAGGCGGACAGAACCCUGUCACACAAACCCUGCCGGACCCGGGACGCUGCUCAGAGUAGAGCCUGAGUCGGACUCCAACCCCAAGCCUACAUUGUUGCAAAGUUGAAGCAUUAUGAAAUAAAAUGUAUGAAUAUCA